GAUGAAGAACGUAGCGAAAUGCGAUAAGUAAUGUGAAUUGCAGAAUUCAGUGAAUCAUCGAAUCUUUGAACGCACAUUGCGCCCGCCAGUAUUCUGGCGGGCAUGCCUGUUCGAGCGUCAUUUCAACCAUCAAGCCCCCGGCUUGUGUUGGGGGCCUGCGGCUGCCGCAGGCCCUGAAAACCAGUGGCGGGCUCGCUAGUCACUCCGAGCGUAGUAAUACAUCUCGCUCAGGGCGUGCUGCGGGUUCCGGCCGUUAAAAAGCCUUAUUUACCCAAGGUUGACCUCGGAUCAGGUAGGAAGACCCGCUGAACUUAAGCAUAUCAAUAAGCGGAGGA
This 335-nucleotide unclassified non-coding RNA is filed under the name soil metagenome. RNAcentral's name for it is "partial contains 5.8S ribosomal RNA, internal transcribed spacer 2, and large subunit ribosomal RNA". The stretch from base 1 to 120 matches the Rfam family "5.8S ribosomal RNA", at positions 35 to 154 of the family's 154-position model. The record is from RNAcentral.